RNAcentral lists this ribosomal RNA (477 nucleotides) under uncultured Sphingobacteriales bacterium. RNAcentral's name for it is "bacterial SSU rRNA". It matches the Rfam family "Bacterial small subunit ribosomal RNA", at positions 903 to 1382 of the family's 1533-position model. The record is from RNAcentral. Lineage: Bacteria; Pseudomonadati; Bacteroidota; Sphingobacteriia; Sphingobacteriales.
AAAGGAAUUGACGGGGGCCCGCACAAGCGGUGGAGCAUGUGGUUUAAUUCGAUGAUACGCGAGGAACCUUACCUGGGCUCAAAUGUAUGUUGACGUAUUCUGAAAGGGAUACUUCUUCGGACAAUAUACAAGGUGCUGCAUGGUUGUCGUCAGCUCGUGCCGUGAGGUGUCGGGUUAAGUCCCAUAACGAGCGCAACCCCUAUCAUUAGUUGCCAUCAGGUCAAGCUGGGGACUCUAAUGAAACUGCCUACGCAAGUAGUGAGGAAGGUGGGGAUGACGUCAAAUCAGCACGGCCCUUACGUCCAGGGCUACACACGUGCUACAAUGGCCGGUACAAAGGGCAGCUACCUGGUGACAGGAUGCUAAUCUCAAAAGCCGGUCUCAGUUCGGAUCGGAGUCUGCAACCCGACUCCGUGAAGUUGGAUUCGCUAGUAAUCGCGCAUCAGCCAUGGCGCGGUGAAUACGUUCCCGGGCCUU